Non-coding RNA from Aspergillus steynii IBT 23096, 110 nucleotides. The record is from the annotation of a RefSeq genome assembly. NCBI's taxonomy places the organism in Eukaryota, Fungi, Ascomycota, Eurotiomycetes, Eurotiales, Aspergillaceae.
GCUCCCUUGGCCUAGGGGUUAUGGCGUGGCUCUUAUGGUGUAUUUCCUACUACAGGAUUCCCCAUGAAAUUGACUAGCCGAAGUCGUGGGUUCGAUUCCCACAGGGAGCA